Molecule: long non-coding RNA, 1782 nt
Organism: Lagopus muta (rock ptarmigan)
Lineage: Eukaryota; Metazoa; Chordata; Aves; Galliformes; Phasianidae
Exons: 4
Source: RefSeq, a predicted model, not a curated record
GUAGUAGGGAAGGAUCUCUUGCUGGAGAUGCCCCCCCCCUCUCUUCUGGAGUUUUCCUCCUGAGCCUAGAUGUUUAGAGAUGGCUUUUUUGAAAGUUGACGUGGGAGCCUGAAGUUAAUAUCUUUUCCAGUUCUUUGAAGCAAAUUAUUUGCCAGAUUUAAACCACAUCAGGUCUUCACUGUGAUUCACUUACAAGGAUAUUUUCUACUUUUGUUUCUGAUGCUCUUCAACUCAGCUGCCAAAUGGGGACUGAAGUUUUACUGGAAGAGCAAUCCUAGUGAGAAAAUGGCGUUUAGAAGUCUAUCUGCAGACAGGGACAGAGAACGGACUUUGUUCAGAUAACAGAAAGCAAGUAUCUGGAGACUGCUAUGGUAACUUGCAGCACUGGAGAAGAGUGCUGCUAUGACAGCCUCAUGCAAAGUAGAGCCAACUGCACAGCCUUCCCCCCAUGCUGCAGCUGUGUCCAGACCUAACAGAGGGCAAUAGCUGAAGUUCUGGAAAGCCAUUUCUGCUCUUUUCAGUCCUGGCUUCAUAAUUUAUAUUUCAGAUGUGACUAGAGAUAGUUAUUUCAUUCAUGGAUGUUAACAAAAUAAUUAAACUAUUAACUAUUCAUAUUCCACUAGCCCGUUGGUGUAGUUUUCCAAUAAUAAUCAUGCUCUGUAAUGCUGUUAUGCUAUAGUUCUGCUAUCAGUAUUUUCCAAGGAUUUAUAUAUAUAUAUAUUUCAUUAAGCAGACGUAGACUUGCAGUAGGAAUUUCCACGCUAUGGUUUAUAGUUGCUUAUACGCAAUUUCCAGUGUGAGAUCAGCCCCAUGCUUGCUCCACAGAAGGUAACGUUAUGAAGUUUAGGAAAGCAAGUCAAACAGAAGUUUGAACUAGAGAUGGCAGAAGUUUUAAUCCACAGAGUGGUCCGAGAAGUGUCACAGAGAGUAUUUUAUUUUUGUUAGCCAUCACAAUCUUAGCUAAAUAAACAAACAGUUAAUAAAGAAAGGUUGUGGGCUUUUUUCCUAUUCCAGUCAAAAAUAAAAAGGAGGUAUAUUAUCUACUUUUUCUAAAGUCCUCAAAGAAUGCUGUCAUCAUAAAAUUAUGUGCACAGAAUACACUUAUAAUUUAAUUAGUAUUUAAAAUAUACAACCAUGCUUUGAUAAAUCCAGUAACUCCCUUGCACUGAACUAAUAAGCAUGCAAUGCCAUCAUUUCCAGCCACCACGUUUUCAUGACUAUCUUAAGACAUCGUUCACUAUUUCAUAACUGUCUGGGUAAAUGGAAUUUGUUUAAUUACUUCAUUGUAUACCGCACUGUCAUAAAGAAAAUACCAAAUUUUGCUUUUAUGUGAACUUGUGAGCAAUGAGAGGUCUUUUACUAUUAUUAUUUAUUUAGGAAAGCAGCUAAAAUUGCAAGAGUAGAUCAGCGUUAAAAUCAAAGUUUCUGGCUGCUGAGUUCAAGCAUGACUCACCCUGGCAGUACAACUGUAUUGAAUUAAAAUCGGUUCAACAUAGCAUUACAGACAAGCAGGCUUUUCUGCCAUUUAACCAUAGGGAAUUCUUACUGCAAAGCAGACCUCACGCGGUUCUGCAGGCGCUGUGAGUGAAUCGCUCGCUGGCACGGCAGGUCGCGCGAUCACAUAGCGGCACCACGGUGCCGGUGAUCACCAACGCUACUUAGCGCUUGGAAACGAAGCACGCCUUGGUGCGCCAUCGGUUUGUUGUCUUUAAUCCUCGCAACGAUUCACAACCAGAUGAAGGCAAUGGCCAUCCCAGCCUGAAUCGCGGCGCGGAAAGAGAA